Molecule: ribosomal RNA, 253 nt
Filed under: uncultured bacterium
Lineage: Bacteria
Description: partial 16S ribosomal RNA
Rfam family: Bacterial small subunit ribosomal RNA
Source: RNAcentral
UACGUAGGGGGCAAGCGUUGUCCGGAUUUAUUGGGCGUAAAGAGCGUGUAGGCGGUUCGGUAGGUCCGUUGUGAAAACUCGAGGCUCAACCUCGAGACGCCGAUGGAAACCCUCGAACUAGAGUCCGGAAGAGGAGAGUGGAAUUCCUGGUGUAGCGGUGAAAUGCGUAGAUAUCAGGAGGAACACCAGUGGCGAAGGCGACUCUUUGGUCUGUAACUGACGCUGAGGCGCGAAAGCGUGGGGAGCAAACAGG